RNAcentral lists this ribosomal RNA (251 nucleotides) under uncultured prokaryote. RNAcentral describes it as "partial 16S ribosomal RNA". It matches the Rfam family "Bacterial small subunit ribosomal RNA", at positions 525 to 775 of the family's 1533-position model. The record is from RNAcentral.
ACGUAGGGUGCGAGCGUUAAUCGGUAUUACUGGGCGUAAAGCGUGCGCAGGCGGCUCUAUAAGACAGAUGUGAAAUCCCCGGGCUUAACCUGGGAACUGCGUUUGUGACUGUAGGGCUUGAGUGCGGCAGAAGGGGGUGGAAUUCCACGUGUAGCAGUGAAAUGCGUAGAGAUGUGGAGGAACACCGAUGGCGAAGGCGACACCCUGGGCCGUACCUGACGCUAAGACGCGACAGCACGGGGAGCGAACGG